Molecule: ribosomal RNA, 585 nt
Filed under: uncultured fungus
Lineage: Eukaryota; Fungi
Description: eukaryotic LSU rRNA
Rfam family: 5.8S ribosomal RNA (bases 168-321)
Source: RNAcentral
GUGCACCUCUUGUUAUACCUGAAUUGACUUUCCGAGGCAACUCGGUCGGGAAGAUUGCUGUGCUCUGUGAGCCAGCUUUCUUUGCAUGUCUAGGCCUAUGUUUUUCAUAUACCCCUAUAGAAUGUAACAGAAUGUAUCAUUGGGCCUUGUGCCUAUAAACCUUAUACAACUUUCAGCAACGGAUCUCUUGGCUCUCGCAUCGAUGAAGAACGCAGCGAAAUGCGAUAAGUAAUGUGAAUUGCAAAAUUCAGUGAAUCAUCGAAUCUUUGAACGCACCUUGCGCUCCUUGGUAUUCCGAGGAGCAUGCCUGUUUGAGUGUCAUUAAAUUCUCAACCUUAUUAACUUUUGUUGAUAAUGGAUUGGAUUGUGGGGGUUUCUUUUGCUGGAUUCUUCACAGAGAUCAGCUCCCCUUAAAUGCAUUAUCUGGUGCCCCGCGUGGACCAUCUAUUGGUGUGAUAAUUAUCUACGCCGUGUAUGUCUGCAUCAUAUGGGUUUUGCACUGCUUCUAACCGUCUGUUCAUUCAGACAAUACAUGACAAUUUUGACCUCAAAUCAUGUAGGAAUACCCGCCUGAACUUAAGCAUA